Molecule: ribosomal RNA, 429 nt
Filed under: Pseudomonadota bacterium
Lineage: Bacteria; Pseudomonadati; Pseudomonadota
Description: Proteobacteria bacterium partial 16S ribosomal RNA
Rfam family: Bacterial small subunit ribosomal RNA
Source: RNAcentral
UGGGGAAUAUUGGACAAUGGGCGAAAGCCUGAUCCAGCCAUGCCGCGUGUGUGAAGAAGGUCUUCGGAUUGUAAAGCACUUUAAGUUGGGAGGAAGGUCAGUAAGCGAAUACCUUGCUGUUUUGACGUUACCGACGGAAUAAGCACCGGCUAACUCUGUGCCAGCAGCCGCGGUAAUACAGAGGGUGCAAGCGUUAAUCGGAAUUACUGGGCGUAAAGCGCGCGUAGGUGGUUCGUUAAGUUGAAUGUGAAAGCCCCGGGCUCAACCUGGGAACUGCAUCCAAAACUGGCGAGCUAGAGUAGGGCAGAGGGUGGUGGAAUUUCAUGUGUAGCGGUGAAAUGCGUAGAUAUAGGAAGGAACACCAGUGGCGAAGGCGACCACCUGGGCUCAUACUGACACUGAGGUGCGAAAGCGUGGGGAGCAAACAGG